Molecule: ribosomal RNA, 528 nt
Filed under: Bacteroidales bacterium 65bF
Lineage: Bacteria; Pseudomonadati; Bacteroidota; Bacteroidia; Bacteroidales
Description: bacterial SSU rRNA
Rfam family: Bacterial small subunit ribosomal RNA
Source: RNAcentral
UAGAGUUUGAUCCUGGCUCAGGAUGAACGCUAGCGACAGGCCUAACACAUGCAAGUCGAGGGGCAGCACGGUGUAGCAAUACACGGGUGGCGACCGGCGCACGGGUGAGUAACGCGUAUGCAACCUGCCUACUACAAGGGGAUAACCCGUUGAAAGACGGACUAAUACCCUAUAACACAGGGAAUCCGCAUGGAUAUAUUUGUUAAAGAUUUAUCGGUAGUAGAUGGGCAUGCGUUCCAUUAGCUUGUUGGUGAGGUAACGGCUCACCAAGGCAACGAUGGAUAGGGGAACUGAGAGGUUGAUCCCCCACACUGGAACUGAGACACGGUCCAGACUCCUACGGGAGGCAGCAGUGAGGAAUAUUGGUCAAUGGACGAGAGUCUGAACCAGCCAAGUCGCGUGAAGGAAGACGGCCCUACGGGUUGUAAACUUCUUUUGUAAGGGAAUAAAGGUCGGUACGUGUACCGGUUUGCAAGUACCUUACGAAUAAGGAUCGGCUAACUCCGUGCCAGCAGCCGCGGUAAUACA